Molecule: non-coding RNA, 25 nt
Filed under: Callithrix jacchus (white-tufted-ear marmoset)
Lineage: Eukaryota; Metazoa; Chordata; Mammalia; Primates; Cebidae
Also listed under: 1 other name
Source: RNAcentral
UUGCAGCUGCCUGGGAGUGACUUCA